RNAcentral lists this unclassified non-coding RNA (444 nucleotides) under Hevea brasiliensis (rubber tree). Lineage: Eukaryota; Viridiplantae; Streptophyta; Magnoliopsida; Malpighiales; Euphorbiaceae. The record is from RNAcentral.
GCUAAACGAUCAUUCUGACGAAUCUGAUGAAGCAAACCCAAGGCAUGAAAUUGUACAAGUGGUGCCCUUGACUGAACAGCUUCCUGGACCUCAUUACUCCAUCGCUUCACAAUCUCAGGAUUGGUCUGGAGUAAAUGAAUCCCACUAACCAAGGCUGCGCUAGCAACCACUGGGUUUUUGUCCACAAUUGCUUGUUUCAGAUACCGCUCAAUUUGGGUGAGAAGGGUACCAUCUGUAAUUCUACAAAGUACACGUAUAGCAUUAGCACGGUACAUAUCAUUCUUGCUGUUCAUGUCCUUCAUCAAGGAGCUUGUCACGAUGAUAACAUCAUCAGAAGAUGGAGAGAGCUCCUUUAUCAUUAAAUAAACCAUUCUCCUCAAUUCUAUAUCUCUGGACUGGAAGAGCUUAGUCACACCAAAGAACACUUCUGUAGCUUCAACCUGG